RNAcentral lists this ribosomal RNA (288 nucleotides) under Pseudomonas oryzihabitans. Its description in RNAcentral is "partial 23S ribosomal RNA". It matches the Rfam family "Bacterial large subunit ribosomal RNA", at positions 2657 to 2925 of the family's 2925-position model. Lineage: Bacteria; Pseudomonadati; Pseudomonadota; Gammaproteobacteria; Pseudomonadales; Pseudomonadaceae. The record is from RNAcentral.
GAGAUUUGAGAGGGGCUGCUCCUAGUACGAGAGGACCGGAGUGGACGAACCUCUGGUGUUCCGGUUGUCACGCCAGUGGCAUUGCCGGGUAGCUAUGUUCGGAAGAGAUAACCGCUGAAAGCAUCUAAGCGGGAAACUUGCCUCAAGAUGAGAUCUCACUGGAGCCUUGAGCUUCCUGAAGGGCCGUCGAAGACUACGACGUUGAUAGGUCGGGUGUGUAAGCGCUGUGAGGCGUUGAGCUAACCGAUACUAAUUGCCCGUGAGGCUUGACCAUAUAACACCCAAACA